GGCCCCAUCGUCUAGUGGUUAGGACAUAGCCCUUUCACGGCUGUAACAGGGGUUCAAAUCCCCUUGGGGUCA
Molecule: transfer RNA, 72 nt
Filed under: Ignavibacteriales bacterium
Lineage: Bacteria; Pseudomonadati; Ignavibacteriota; Ignavibacteria; Ignavibacteriales
Also listed under: 3 other names
Description: tRNA-Glu
Rfam family: tRNA
About the family: Transfer RNA (tRNA) molecules are approximately 80 nucleotides in length. Their secondary structure includes four short double-helical elements and three loops (D, anti-codon, and T loops). Further hydrogen bonds mediate the characteristic L-shaped molecular structure. tRNAs have two regions of fundamental functional importance: the anti-codon, which is responsible for specific mRNA codon recognition, and the 3' end, to which the tRNAs corresponding amino acid is attached (by aminoacyl-tRNA synthetases). tRNAs cope with the degeneracy of the genetic code in two manners: having more than one tRNA (with a specific anti-codon) for a particular amino acid; and 'wobble' base-pairing, i.e. permitting non-standard base-pairing at the 3rd anti-codon position.
Source: RNAcentral